GAUGAACGCUGGCGGCGUGCCUAAUACAUGCAAGUCGAGCGAGCGGACGAGAAGCUUGCUUUUCUGAUGUUAGCGGCGGACGGGUGAGUAACACGUGGAUAACCUACCUAUAAGACUGGGAUAACUUCGGGAAACCGGAGCUAAUACCGGAUAAUAUUUUGAACCGCAUGGUUCAAAAGUGAAAGACGGUCUUGCUGUCACUUAUAGAUGGAUCCGCGCUGCAUUAGCUAGUUGGUAAGGUAACGGCUUACCAAGGCAACGAUGCAUAGCCGACCUGAGAGGGUGAUCGGCCACACUGGAACUGAGACACGGUCCAGACUCCUACGGGAGGCAGCAGUAGGGAAUCUUCCGCAAUGGGCGAAAGCCUGACGGAGCAACGCCGCGUGAGUGAUGAAGGUCUUCGGAUCGUAAAACUCUGUUAUUAGGGAAGAACAAAUGUGUAAGUAACUAUGAACAUCUUGACGGUACCUAAUCAGAAAGCCACGGCUAACUACGUG
RNAcentral lists this ribosomal RNA (497 nucleotides) under uncultured bacterium. RNAcentral describes it as "partial 16S ribosomal RNA". It matches the Rfam family "Bacterial small subunit ribosomal RNA", at positions 28 to 507 of the family's 1533-position model. The record is from RNAcentral.